Molecule: unclassified non-coding RNA, 811 nt
Filed under: Ascosphaera atra
Lineage: Eukaryota; Fungi; Ascomycota; Eurotiomycetes; Onygenales; Ascosphaeraceae
Description: sequence contains 28S rRNA gene
Rfam family: Eukaryotic large subunit ribosomal RNA
Source: RNAcentral
GCGAGUGAAGCGGCAAAAGCUCAAAUUUGAAAUCUGGCUCCUUCGGGGUCCGAGUUGUAAUUUGGAGAGGAUGCUCUGGGGGUGGUCGCGGUCUAAGUCCCCUGGAACGGGGCGUCGCAGAGGGUGAGAAUCCCGUCUUCGGCCGGCCGACCAUGCCCGUGUAGAGCUCCUUCGACGAGUCGAGUUGUUUGGGAAUGCAGCUCUAAAUGGGUGGUAAAUUUCAUCUAAAGCUAAAUACUGGUCGGAGACCGAUAGCGCACAAGUAGAGUGAUCGAAAGAUGAAAAGCACUUUGAAAAGAGAGUUAAACAGCAUGUGAAAUUGUUGAAAGGGAAGCACAAGCGACCAGAGUCGGCCGCGGGGGUUCAGCAGGGGUCCUCCCCUGUGUAUUCCCCCGUGGUCGGGCCAGCAUCAGUUCUGGCGGCCGGUCAAAGGCUCCGGGAAUGUGUCGCCCUUCGGGACGACUUAUAGCCCGGGGUGCAAUGCGGCCAGCCGGGACUGAGGAACGCGCUUCGGCACGGAUGCUGGCUUAAUGGCCGUUUGUGGCCCGUCUUGAAACACGGACCAAGGAGUCUAACAUCCACGCGAGUGUUCGGGUGUCAAACCCGUCCGCGCAGUGAAAGCGAACGGAGGUGAGAGCCCCUCGAGGGUGCAUCAUCGACCGAUCCUGAAGUCUUCGGAUGGAUUUGAGUAUGAGCGUGGCUGUUGGGACCCGAAAGAUGGGGAACUAUGCCUGAAUAGGGUGAAGCCAGAGGAAACUCUGGUGGAGGCUCGCAGCGGUUCUGACGUGCAAAUCGAUCGUCAAAUUUGGGU